GACGAACGCUGGCGGCGUGCUUAACACAUGCAAGUCGAGCGGUAAGGCCCUUUCGGGGGUACACGAGCGGCGAACGGGUGAGUAACACGUGGGUGACCUGCCCUCAGCUCUGGGAUAAGCCUGGGAAACUGGGUCUAAUACUGGAUAUGACUCCACGGUGCAUGUCGUGGGGUGGAAAGCCUUGUGCGGCUGAGGAUGGGCCCGCGGCCUAUCAGCUUGUUGGUGGGGUGAUGGCCUACCAAGGCGACGACGGGUAGCCGGCCUGAGAGGGCGACCGGCCACACUGGGACUGAGACACGGCCCAGACUCCUACGGGAGGCAGCAGUGGGGAAUCUUGCGCAAUGGGCGAAAGCCUGACGCAGCGACGCCGCGUGAGGGAUGACGGCCUGGUGUACUACUUCUNCNCGCGAGACGGAGUAGACGGUAGGAGCGAGAAGAAGA
RNAcentral lists this ribosomal RNA (441 nucleotides) under uncultured bacterium. RNAcentral describes it as "bacterial SSU rRNA". It matches the Rfam family "Bacterial small subunit ribosomal RNA", at positions 28 to 491 of the family's 1533-position model. The record is from RNAcentral.